CUGACCAGCGAGUCAACAGUCCGAGCGCAUGGAGGCUUAUCUUAAGACCAGAGGACACUGGGAUUUCAUAUGCAGUCCAGCGAGACUGGGCGAAAAAGUCUGGCCACAUGUGUUAAUCAUUAUCAGCGUCACGUGCGAAGGUGCUGUUGAGGAAACGAUGGGCUGUGAAUCAACAGGUUGUCUUUGGCGAAGCUAGAAAUGGAAACUCAUGAUGAAGUUUUCAACCUUUAUUUCAAACAACUGCAUCAUUCAGGAGACAAAUUAG
Betta splendens (Siamese fighting fish) is the source of this 265-nucleotide long non-coding RNA. RefSeq lists it as uncharacterized. The transcript is spliced from 3 exons. The record is from RefSeq and is a predicted model, not a curated record. Lineage: Eukaryota; Metazoa; Chordata; Actinopteri; Anabantiformes; Osphronemidae.